Molecule: transfer RNA, 66 nt
Filed under: Ommatolampis quadrimaculata
Lineage: Eukaryota; Metazoa; Arthropoda; Insecta; Orthoptera; Acrididae
Description: tRNA-Phe
Rfam family: tRNA
About the family: Transfer RNA (tRNA) molecules are approximately 80 nucleotides in length. Their secondary structure includes four short double-helical elements and three loops (D, anti-codon, and T loops).
Source: RNAcentral
ACCUAUAUAGCUUAUAUUAGAGUAUAACACUGAAGAUGUUAAGGAAUCAUUAAAUGAUUUUAGGUA